This 66-nucleotide transfer RNA is filed under the name Helicana wuana. RNAcentral's name for it is "tRNA-Ser". It matches the Rfam family "tRNA". From Rfam's summary of the family: Transfer RNA (tRNA) molecules are approximately 80 nucleotides in length. Their secondary structure includes four short double-helical elements and three loops (D, anti-codon, and T loops). RNAcentral also lists the same sequence under 1 other name. Lineage: Eukaryota; Metazoa; Arthropoda; Malacostraca; Decapoda; Varunidae. The record is from RNAcentral.
GAUUAUUUAGUUUAAAAAAAACGAAUGUCUUGAAAACAUUUAAUAAGAAUAGAUUCUUAAUAAUUG